UACGUAGGGCGCGAGCGUUGUCCGGAUUUACUGGGCGUAAAGGGCUCGUAGGCGGUUUGUCGCGUCGGUCGUGGAAAUGCGCAGCUUAACCGGGCACGCGCGGCUGAUACGGGCAGACUCGAGGGCGGUAGGGGCAAGCGGAAUUCCUGGGGUCGCGGUGAAAUGCGCAGAUAUCAGGAGGAACACCGAUGGCGAAGGCAGGUUGCUGGGCCGUUCCUGACGCUGAGGAGCGAAAGCGUGGGUAGCGAACAGG
This 253-nucleotide unclassified non-coding RNA is filed under the name uncultured Actinomycetes bacterium. RNAcentral describes it as "uncultured actinobacterium contains 16S-23S intergenic spacer region". It matches the Rfam family "Bacterial small subunit ribosomal RNA", at positions 524 to 776 of the family's 1533-position model. Lineage: Bacteria; Bacillati; Actinomycetota; Actinomycetes. The record is from RNAcentral.